UGGAAACUUACUAAGUGAUCACUUUCAAAUUCAGAGAAACCCUGGAAUUAACAAAAAUGGGCAAUCCUGAGCCAAAUCCUUUAUUUCGGAAAACAAACAAAGGUUCAGAAAAAAGGAUAGGUGCAGAGACUCAAUGGAAGCUAUUCUAACAAAUGGAGUUAAAUGCGUUGGUAAAGGAAUCUUUACUUUACAUCGAAACUUCAGAAAGAAAAAGAAUGAAGUGAAGGAUAAACGUAUAUAUAUACGUAUUGAAUACUAUAUCAAAUGAUUAAUGACGACCCGAAUCCAUAUUUUUUCUAUAAAAAAUAGAAGAAUUGGUGUGAAUCGAUUCUACAUUGAAGAAAGAAUCGAAUAUUCAUUGAUCAAAUCAUUCACUCCAUAGUCUGAUAGAUCUUUUGAAGAACUGAUUAAUUGGACGAGAAUAAAGAUAGAGUCCCGUUCUACAUGUCAAUACCGGCAACAAUGAAAUUUAUAGUAAGAGGAAAAUCCGUCGACUUUAAAAAUCGUGAGGGUUCAAGUCCCUCUAUCCCCAAAAAGACUAUUUCACUCCCCAACUAUUUAUCCGAC
Molecule: non-coding RNA, 567 nt
Filed under: Cestrum elegans
Lineage: Eukaryota; Viridiplantae; Streptophyta; Magnoliopsida; Solanales; Solanaceae
Description: partial transfer RNA-Leu(UAA)
Rfam family: Group I catalytic intron (bases 1-457)
About the family: Group I catalytic introns are large self-splicing ribozymes. They catalyse their own excision from mRNA, tRNA and rRNA precursors in a wide range of organisms.
Source: RNAcentral